CUUGGGAAAACCAAUUCUAACAAAUUUGCACGCGAUUUGACAUGUCGAAUCCAUAAAAGCGCUUCAAACGAUUGGAUUAUGGGUGUGAACGUCGAGCCACAGCCGCAGCCAGCGGAACUCAAUUGCCAAAUUGAGAUUCAGACCUUUUAAACUGAUUACGAGCCGGUCCACGCUAUCAAUUGCAAAUUUAUUUCCCCCGCACCACCCAAAAAAAAACAAAACCCUUUUCGGGAGCUUACCUUCGUCCUUGACCUGGCCCUGACUUUGCAUUUGUGGAAAUCGAGUGGGAAAGUCGGGACUUGACUCAUCACGCAAGUCCCGCCACCUUUUUUGUGGCAAACAAAUCAGCAAGUUUACGAGCUGAAUUGCAAAUACCGCGUUGGCAUCGGAAAGUCUUUGACGUUCUUGCUUACGAAGCAGACCCACUCCACCCACUCGUUCAAAACUGGGGCAGUGCUUGUCAAAUGGCAGCUGUAAACUAAAUGCUUUAUAUUCAUUUAUUCCGGAGCAUAAACAAUGUGAACAUCCUCGACAAACCGGAAGACUUCAUGAGCUCCUUGUGCCUGGAUAUUUAUGUAUGUAUGUACAUAUAUGUACAUAUAUGUAUAUGUGGUGCAGCAGUAGUGAAUGUGCGUGUGUGUAAGUGUGCGUAAUGCCGUGAUGCCAUGGUUAAUGCAUGUGCAACAGGAUGCUCUUCCAUUUGCGGUUGCCUCAUCCGAGGAAAUUAGUUGCUCAUAGUCGAGGCAUCCGCCCAAGAGAGAGAUGUUGGGAGUGAAAAAGCGACAUCCUUCUAUUCCGAAUUCGCUUCUAUUAGCGAAAUAUAUGUAUAAUAUAAUAUGUUCGAUAUGCACAAUAGCCCUAAAAAGUUUCAUCUUUAAAGCAAUUUUUGAUCCAAACGGGAAAAGAACCUAGCAUCUGCAAGCCGAAGUAUAACAACUUGCUGUAAUUAUACAUAAUUUUAAGAACGAGUUAUGAUUAAAACAGUAAACAUUUGGUUCUUCUAAUAA
Molecule: long non-coding RNA, 1007 nt
Organism: Drosophila yakuba
Lineage: Eukaryota; Metazoa; Arthropoda; Insecta; Diptera; Drosophilidae
Exons: 2
Source: RefSeq, a predicted model, not a curated record